Molecule: long non-coding RNA, 281 nt
Filed under: Hordeum vulgare
Lineage: Eukaryota; Viridiplantae; Streptophyta; Magnoliopsida; Poales; Poaceae
Description: long non-coding RNA (HVUL_LNC003975)
Source: RNAcentral
UUGCAGGGUUGCUUGAGAGAGACCAUCUUCAUCCUACGCCUCCCUCGGAUUGAUAAACCUUAGGUCACCCACUUGAGGGAAAAUUGCUAUUGUCCUACAAACCUCUGCACUUGGAGGCCCAACAAUGUCUACAAGGAGAAGGAUGCGUAGUAGACAUCAGUGCGCAAGGUGAUUUGGUCAGAAAAGGGUGUGAACCGGAUCGUGAUGCGACAGGGUAUGAACUGAAGAUGUUGCAACUCAAUGCACAAGCCUGCGACAUCAUCUUCAAAUGUCUAUUCCCU